GAGCCGAGUUGGGCGGGUCUGGGCGUUGGCGGGAGAUUUGCUUAUAUGCACCAUGUGGGAUUUAACGCCGCUUCCUCAGACUGCAAAAAUACUUAUUUUUUAGCUUCUAUUUUGGCUUACUUAUUUUUCUUCAAGCACUGCUGAGAUAAUGUCAUUUAACUUCUUACCCAGUAUAGUCCUGAAUUUUCUUCUUUGGAAAAAAUGCAGAGAAAGCCUUUCAUUCACCACGUUGGAGUAGCAGAACUGUCCAUACAGCUGGAGAACAGAUGGUUCCACAGAAUCAUUUCAUCUGGGACUCAGAAUCUUUUUGGAAUUCUGCUGGUGAAUUACUUGGCCAACUUGAACAUAUAACCUGCUUCUCCCUUAAGUAUCUCCACCUGUGAAACAGAGGAAAAAAAAGAAGAUAACCAACCUCCAGCUUUCUGGUGACCAGCCCCGUCACGAGGUGAUCCAGGGCCCCACUUUACAAUGCAGGGCAGACAGGCUGGUGCUCAUUCACGCUUACAGACAAACUGGACAGACACAAUGAAUGGAAUACAAACAUUAAGUCAACUCAUAAAUGAACAAGUUGUCCUCACGGCUUCUCCUGCAGACACUGAGACCGAGUCACACUUCAGGACUAAUUAAGGUUAAAUGAAGCCCUAAGGGUGAGGCCCUAAUCCGAUAUGAAUGAUCGCCUUCGAAGCAGAAGCAGAAGCAGCAGAAGAGAUACCCCCAUCCCCAUCCCGGGCCAGGUGAGAAAAGCAAGAAGGCAGCCAUCUGCCAAGCAGGCAGAGUGCUUUCACCACAGACUAAAUCAGCUGGCACCUUGACCUCGGACUUGCCAGUGUCCAGAACUGUGAGAAAAUAAAUUUCUACUGUUUAA
Suricata suricatta (meerkat) is the source of this 865-nucleotide long non-coding RNA. RefSeq lists it as uncharacterized. The transcript has 7 exons. The record is from RefSeq and is a predicted model, not a curated record. NCBI's taxonomy places the organism in Eukaryota, Metazoa, Chordata, Mammalia, Carnivora, Herpestidae.